UAGGGAAUCUUCCACAAUGGACGCAAGUCUGAUGGAGCAACGCCGCGUGAGUGAAGAAGGCUUUCGGGUCGUAAAACUCUGUUAUUGAAGAAGAACGUGUGUGACAGUAACUGGUCAUGCAGUGACGGUAUUCAAUCAGAAAGUCACGGCUAACUACGUGCCAGCAGCCGCGGUAAUACGUAGGUGGCAAGCGUUGUCCGGAUUUAUUGGGCGUAAAGCGAGUGCAGGCGGUCUUUUAAGUCUGAUGUGAAAGCCUUCGGCUUAACCGAAGAAGGGCAUCGGAAACUGGGAGACUUGAGUGCAGAAGAGGAGAGUGGAACUCCAUGUGUAGCGGUGAAAUGCGUAGAUAUAUGGAAGAACACCAGUGGCGAAGGCGGCUCUCUGGUCUGUAACUGACGCUGAGGCUCGAAAGCGUGGGUAGCAAACAGGAUUAGAUACCCU
This 441-nucleotide ribosomal RNA is filed under the name uncultured bacterium. RNAcentral's name for it is "partial 16S ribosomal RNA". It matches the Rfam family "Bacterial small subunit ribosomal RNA", at positions 355 to 788 of the family's 1533-position model. The record is from RNAcentral.